RNAcentral lists this ribosomal RNA (253 nucleotides) under uncultured bacterium. RNAcentral's name for it is "partial 16S ribosomal RNA". It matches the Rfam family "Bacterial small subunit ribosomal RNA", at positions 524 to 776 of the family's 1533-position model. The record is from RNAcentral.
UACGAAGGGGGCUAGCGUUGCUCGGAAUUACUGGGCGUAAAGGGCGCGUAGGCGGACAGUUUAGUCAGAGGUGAAAGCCCAGGGCUCAACCUUGGAAUAGCCUUUGAUACUGACUGUCUUGAGUUCGGGAGAGGUGAGUGGAAUGCCGAGUGUAGAGGUGAAAUUCGUAGAUAUUCGGCGGAACACCAGUGGCGAAGGCGACUCACUGGCCCGAUACUGACGCUGAGGCGCGAAAGCGUGGGGAGCGAUCCGG